GCGGACGGGUGCGUAACACGUAGCUACUUGCCCCACAGUGGGGGAUAACCCGGGGAAACCCGGGCUAAUACCGCAUACACCCGAGAGGGGAAAGCCGAAAGGCGCUGUGGGAUAGGGCUGCGGCGUAUCAGGUAGUUGGUGGGGUAACGGCCUACCAAGCCGAUGACGCGUAGCUGGUCUGAGAGGAUGAUCAGCCACACUGGAACUGAGACACGGUCCAGACUCCUACGGGAGGCAGCAGUGGGGAAUCUUGGGCAAUGGGGGAAACCCUGACCCAGCAACGCCGCGUGGAGGAAGACGCCCUUCGGGGUGUAAACUCCUUUUGCAGGGGAAGAGAGAGACGGUACCCUGCGAAUAAGCUCCGGCUAACUCCGUGCCAGCAGCCGCGGUAAUACGGGGGGAGCUAGCGUUACUCGGAAUCACUGGGCGUAAAGGGUGCGUAGGCGGCUUAGUAAGUUGGGAGUGAAAUCCCACGGCUCAACCGUGGAACUGCUUCCAAAACUGCUAAGCUAGAGUCCGGGAGAGGCCGAGGGAAUUCCUGGUGUAGGGGUGAAAUCCGUAGAGAUCANGAGGAAUGCCGAAAGCGAAGGCGCUCGGCUGGAACGGAACUGACGCUGAGGCACGAAAGCGUGGGGAGCAAACANGAUUANAUACCCUGGUAGUCCACGCCCUAAACGAUGAGUACUANUGGUUGGG
Molecule: ribosomal RNA, 696 nt
Filed under: uncultured bacterium
Lineage: Bacteria
Description: bacterial SSU rRNA
Rfam family: Bacterial small subunit ribosomal RNA
Source: RNAcentral